GUAAAGGCCGGAGCAUCCUAUUCACAUCAUGUUCAUACACACCAAACUGUUCGGUGAGCCCUGGUGCACGGAAGCAUCUGCAUCUGAUAUGUUUCUCCACUCUUUUAUUCAGGUCCUGUUAUAUUUUUUGAAUGGAAAGGAAGGAAGGAAAGACAGAAAUUGUACAGCUGUUGGCUUUCACAAACACAGUUGCCAGAAAAUUGUUAUGGCACAGUACAGAGGAGGCAGUUCAUCACUUAACCUAAUCCCACACUAUUUGGCCGUGUUCCGUCUGGCUGUACCCUGACACAUUGGAUCAAGAGACACAUCAAUGUACACUGAGAAAUAAUUGAAGAUAAAAAGAGAAACUAUUUUUCACAGCAGUAACAGAAUAUUUCCAGAUGAGAUUCUCAGUUAUUUUACACGAGCAACAAACAGUCCAUGUCUCAACAAAUCAUAUUUUAUUGAGUUGUAAUAAUAUAAAUAUCACUUCCUGUAUCCAUAUUUUGAAGAGGGUUGACUUGUCCUACUUCCAGUUUCUAAAUCUUAAUAAUCAAGCCAUAAGGCAGGCCAAUGCUACAGCUCUGGAAAUGAUAAUACCCAAAGCUGCAGGCAUGCAAAUAUCUGAAGGAGCGGUCAGUUUGUUGGAGGAUGUUUGUUAAUAUUGGAUCAUGUGAUUUCUGUCCACAAAGACAUCAACAGUUACGUUGGUUGACAUUCUACAUGUAUAGAAAAUAAACACAGAUCAUAUUAGGAACCUGUAAGGACUAUUUUUAUUUUGCCAUAAUUCUGCACUCCUACCUUUUUUUUUUUUUAUAAUAUAACCUGUCAGGUCCUUAUCUCAACCUCCUGCAGACUAAUGGAGAUUCACUGGCUGUUAUUUUAUACAGCCAGGUGUUAUCUGUCCAUCAUUAUCUGAGGCUAGUCAUGGCCUACAUAGUGUGGAAUCAGUUGGGUGUGUCUGUUUGUACCCUAAUAACUGCCAUGUUUAGUCCUGAUACAUCAAAGUAAAUAACAGUAUAUCCCCAAUUUCCAAGACCAACAGUUCCCAGUUGCCUUUUCUUAACCAGUUCUUAUACCGCGAGGUAUACCUCUGAUAUUUUAGUAGGCCUAGAUCCUUGAACUAAACUGGUCAGUCUGUGUGACAUAGUCUGGAAAGUUAUAAUCCAAAAUAUUCCUUUUCAUAUCACUGUUUCCUAAUAAUUUUAAAAACCACAUACAUGCCUAUAGUGCAGCUAGGAUUUUUUAAUGGAGGAACUGAUUCUCAAUUUGUGAUUGAUGCUUUCUGAAAUGUGAAAUGAGUUAAAAAGCAGUACUGCCUGGGGCAUCCUGGUGGACUGGAGGUUUAAGACGCUCGCAAUAUAAUUGCAACAUCCUCAAUUUGAGUAUGGCUGGCGAACUUUAAUGUGUGUCCCUCCCUCCUUAUUUCCUGACAGCUCUCUACUGUAUGCUGUCUAAGAAAAAAGACAAAAAAUCCCUAAAAUAAUACUAAUAAAAAAAAUGAAAGACAUAUUCAGCACCUAAUUCAGUGUCAGUGGAACUGUGCCAUGACUUGAGGAGAGACGUUCCUCUAUGAUGAGGCAGUAGCUAGGAGUUCUAGAAGUAAAUAAUUAUUGAUUGAACUGUCCUGGUCAAUAGAAAAAAUGGAUGUGAAUUCUGUUUUAGGUUGGGUUUUCUCUUUAGCUAGCCAGCCUGUCCACAUAUCUGGUUGGCAGAAAGACAGACUGACCGAAAGAAAAUUAUAGUCUCUGUACAUGAUUUAACCUCCAAAAAUAAACUCUGUUCUAUGAAACGCUGCCUGUAAGUCUGCACAUUUCCAGCGACUUACCACUUUUUAAAGAGGUUUGACCCCAUUUUCAAAAAUUUGAGGUGCAUUUUGGAUCACAGGUAACUAGGAGAAGCACAGACAUUUCUCUGAGGGACCUAGAGUUCAUUGGGAAAAUGUUCCUAAACAUGUAAAGGUUAAUGCAACGAUAAAAACAAUACUUUAACUUAAUUAAAUUGAAUAUUCAACAUUAAAACUAUUGCGUGAGAAAACAUGAGCAAACCCUCCAUUUGGUCACUGAUGAUCCUGGGUCAGUUGUACAGUGUAUGUAUCUGCCCUUACAAAAGUUUCACAACAUGAACCCUUAGGAGCCUACAGUCCAGUGGUGGUGUGGUGACAGUUCCUCCUUGCACUUUUCUUGGACAGUGCCACUUCUAAUCGACUAUUGCUACAUUCAGUUUAAUAUAUCUGGCUAAUAUCUGCUUACAUAGUGUUACGCUUCCACCUGUCACUUGUUAAAACUGUUGUUAACGUGUGGAACAAGUCAUCCUAGAAACGCUUGUAUUUAGACAGACGUAGUCUAUACUUACAUCAUACAUUUAGAAUUUCUUUGUACUGUCUGUAGUAAUGUGUAUUUCAAUUCAAAUAAACUAACUACAACUGAAAC
This is a long non-coding RNA of Siniperca chuatsi (mandarin fish), 2411 nucleotides long. RefSeq lists it as uncharacterized. The record is from RefSeq and is a predicted model, not a curated record. Lineage: Eukaryota; Metazoa; Chordata; Actinopteri; Centrarchiformes; Sinipercidae. The transcript is spliced from 3 exons.